RNAcentral lists this ribosomal RNA (464 nucleotides) under Vreelandella stevensii. RNAcentral describes it as "partial 16S ribosomal RNA". It matches the Rfam family "Bacterial small subunit ribosomal RNA", at positions 338 to 795 of the family's 1533-position model. Lineage: Bacteria; Pseudomonadati; Pseudomonadota; Gammaproteobacteria; Oceanospirillales; Halomonadaceae. The record is from RNAcentral.
CCUACGGGUGGCAGCAGUGGGGAAUAUUGGACAAUGGGGGCAACCCUGAUCCAGCCAUGCCGCGUGUGUGAAGAAGGCCCUCGGGUUGUAAAGCACUUUCAGUGAGGAAGAACGCCUGGUGGUUAAUACCCAUCAGGAAAGACAUCACUCACAGAAGAAGCACCGGCUAACUCCGUGCCAGCAGCCGCGGUAAUACGGAGGGUGCGAGCGUUAAUCGGAAUUACUGGGCGUAAAGCGCGCGUAGGUGGCUUGAUAAGCCGGUUGUGAAAGCCCCGGGCUCAACCUGGGAACGGCAUCCGGAACUGUCAAGCUAGAGUGCAGGAGAGGAAGGGAGAAUUCCCGGUGUAGCGGUGAAAUGCGUAGAGAUCGGGAGGAAUACCAGUGGCGAAGGCGGCCUUCUGGACUGACACUGACACUGAGGUGCGAAAGCGUGGGUAGCAAACAGGAUUAGAUACCCUGUAGUC